RNAcentral lists this ribosomal RNA (382 nucleotides) under uncultured archaeon. RNAcentral describes it as "bacterial SSU rRNA". It matches the Rfam family "Archaeal small subunit ribosomal RNA", at positions 345 to 727 of the family's 1478-position model. The record is from RNAcentral.
AAACUUUACAAUGCGGGAAACCGUGAUAAGGGAACACCGAGUGCCAGCAUCAUAUGCUGGCUGUCCAGAUGUGUAAACUACAUCUGUUAGCAAGGGCCGGGCAAGACCGGUGCCAGCCGCCGCGGUAACACCGGCGGCCCGAGUGGUGACCGUUAUUAUUGGGUCUAAAGGGUCCGUAGCCGGUUUGGUCAGUCCUCCGGGAAAUCUGAUAGCUUAACUGUUAGGCUUUCGGGGGAUACUGCCAGGCUUGGAACCGGGAGAGGUAAGAGGUACUACAGGGGUAGGAGUGAAAUCUUGUAAUCCCUGUGAGACCACCUGUGGCGAAGGCGUCUUACCAGAACGGGUUCGACGGUGAGGGACGAAAGCUGGGGGCACGAACCGG